CCCCAAGGUCAGACCAUGGACUCAUCUCCAGACGUGAGAUCCCCUCUGAAUGAAGUCACUCCGAAAGAUCGCAUGACUUCAGAAAGUGACAUUUUGGAAUCACGAGCCAGUACAGCCUAUCAAAGCGUCUCCUCUCCUUCAACUAAUUUGUCAACUGACGAGGUCAGACCUACUGUUCCUUCUCCAUCACAGUCAUCCAGAGACGCUGUAGUGCACAAUGACACCUCUCCUUCAUCAGCCAUCUCACAGACCCCGGAGCUACAAGAUGUCACCACCCUCAACAUGGACACAGCCUCAGUACCAGGUUCUUCUGCUAGCAGCCCGUCAAUUUCUUUUUUGAAGAGCACCGUUUCAGAUUCAGUAGCCACCACAGCUCCUGCAACAUCCAUCAGUCCAAGUGAAGGACCUCAGACUGUCUCUUCUUCAGCCAGCAGUGUGAUCCAGACAACACAAACAGCUCCACCAUUCACCACCACUUGCCCUCAGGCAUCUCAGAUCGCCCUGACCAGCAGUUCAAAGGUCACUGGACCUGCUCCUUUGGAAGACCAGGAUGAAUCUUCUGAACUGGAUGUGGGGGAUCAAGAGUCAGGGAAGGUUCCCCACCGCCCUACAUCGCCCCUGGACCCCCUGCUCGCUGCUCUGGUCACCGUUUUCAUUAUUUGCACUGCCAUGGUCUCAGCCGUCCUCUUCCUCAGGUUCCGUCAGAGGAGUGAGCAUCCAGAAUUCCACCGGCUUCAAGACCUUCCUAUGCAUGAUCUUCUAGAAGACACGCCUUUGUCAAGAUACACCUAUUAGCAAUCAGGGCUGCACGAUUAAUCAAAAAAUAAAAACAUAAAUAAAAAAAUCACGAUCUCGAUUCAUACAUAAAUGUGAUCUCAUUUCUAAAUGACAGCGAUUCACUUGCAUGUUUGUCCCUCCAUUCAGAUCACACUGCAUUCACUUAUUUACUUUACAACAAUCCAAGAUGCUAUCAGUCAGACUUAUUGGUCACAAUCACACAGUGUAAAACAAAACACUUAUAGAUGAAAAAUAUCAGUUUCUACCAAAAAUAUUAGUUGUCAGAAGAUGAAAGCGAUAUAUUUGUCAUAGUACACUUUCAAUGUUUAUGGGGAUUUCUCGCGUCAGCGCUGUUCAAUGCAUUGCAUCAGUGCCAUAGAUCUCUAUGAAGUGAAAUAUCAGCUUCAGCGUUACUAAGGUGAUGUGUUGCUAGUCGAUUGACGCUUGUGAGGUGGUGUUUAAUGAUGAUUAUAAAACGGAUAGUUCCGGUCCUUGAUUCUGAUUGGUUGUGCCACGUUCAAAGCUGUUGUAAAUUACUCUACAAACAUACACCUUUGUUUACUUUUUGUGUUGCUUGGCAACCACUUUAUUGCAACCACAACUGUUUCUGAGGAACUACAUUGUUUGGUGGAAGAAUACCGUUUUUAUUAAUAUCAUUACACUUUAUUUGCUGUUUUAUUUUGUGAAACCUUACUACAUAUAUGGAAUAACCGUUUUAUAAAAGCAAUAAGCC
RNAcentral lists this long non-coding RNA (1510 nucleotides) under Sinocyclocheilus anshuiensis. RNAcentral's name for it is "lncRNA (ENSSANG00000011904.1)". The record is from RNAcentral. Lineage: Eukaryota; Metazoa; Chordata; Actinopteri; Cypriniformes; Cyprinidae.